Molecule: unclassified non-coding RNA, 272 nt
Filed under: uncultured fungus
Lineage: Eukaryota; Fungi
Description: partial contains small subunit ribosomal RNA, internal transcribed spacer 1, and 5.8S ribosomal RNA
Rfam family: Eukaryotic small subunit ribosomal RNA (bases 1-73)
Source: RNAcentral
GCAAACUUGGUCAUUUAGAGGAAGUAAAAGUCGUAACAAGGUUUCCGUAGGUGAACCUGCGGAAGGAUCAUUACCGAGUGUUUUGAUAGAUCUCUGAUCAAUCAACCUCCCACCCUUUUGUGUAUCAAACUUUUGUUGCUUCGGCAAGAGUAAAAUCUUGCCGAAGGAAUUUUCAAAAACUCUGAUUACUUUUGAAGUCUGAGUCGUUUUUUAAAUUAAAAAAAACUUUCAACAACGGAUCUCUUGGUUCUGGCAUCGAUGAAGAACGCAGC